AGUGUAUUAUGUUGUACCAUCACACAACAGUUGUAGAAGUAAUUUCGAAACCACUAAGCUUAAAAUAGAUGAAUUGUACACUAUGAGACAUCUUAAAAUCGAUGACCUUUUUUUGUUUUUAUUAAUGGAUCUUUUUAUCCUGCUCUAUUUUACAGAUCACUUGCGUUGUUCUGUUAUUAGCCGUGGCAGCUUAUGUCACAGCUUUGCCACAUGGAGGCUACGGUGGGGGCUACGGUCACGGGUACAGUGGCUGGGGUGGACAUGGUGGAUACGGUGGUCAUGGUGGCUACGGACAUGGCUAUGGACAUGGCUACGGACAUGGAUAUGGACACGGCUAUGGCCACGGUGGUUACGGACAUCACCACCACGGAUAUCACCACCACCAUUGACACGAAAUACACGGAUGUUAGAUACUGUUAUUUACAUUGUAUAAGUUAUAGAUAAUAAAUAUGUUAUUUUGAAAAGUA
Molecule: long non-coding RNA, 467 nt
Organism: Hyposmocoma kahamanoa
Lineage: Eukaryota; Metazoa; Arthropoda; Insecta; Lepidoptera; Cosmopterigidae
Exons: 3
Source: RefSeq, a predicted model, not a curated record